Sapajus apella (tufted capuchin) is the source of this 856-nucleotide long non-coding RNA. RefSeq lists it as uncharacterized. The record is from RefSeq and is a predicted model, not a curated record. Lineage: Eukaryota; Metazoa; Chordata; Mammalia; Primates; Cebidae. The transcript is spliced from 2 exons.
GGGGCUCCGAGGAGCUCCAGCCAGGGCCGCGGUGCGCCUGCACGUCACGGCUGCUCAAACCCAAGCACGUCCCGAAAGCGGUAUUUUCUGCGUCUGGGAGGUUUUUGCAUCCUCAGUUCCCACCGCUGGGGCUGGCGGCGACCAACUCACGGACCUGACGUAGCCAGAGAGCUGUCAUUUCAGCACCGGGAUUCCGAAUUGAUCCAGUUCGCAGUGGAGGGGGCACAUCCCAGCUCCCGAGCUGCUGCGUGUCUCUCGCUGGAACAAUAGUAGUUUUUCUCUGGGAGGCUGCAAUUAACAUCUUAUUUGUUCUGGCUCCAUACAGGCUUUGUCAGGACCGCGGUGCGGCGACCGAGGUUGGGCUCUUGCAUUUCUUUCUGCUUGGCAAUGGAAUCAUGGUUUCCGGGUCUAAACUUUUGUUUUGUAGUCUUAAUGUAUCUGAUUCUUUUUCAAGUUUCCUUAGUAACAGGUUUGGGGACGGAGUGGAAAGAAAAGAGAAAAGGGGUGAAGAGAAACAACCAAAUUAUAUAGAAGGGAAAAGAGAUAAGUUUCCCUACCUUUUAAUUUAUCUAUCUGCCUGUCUAUCCACCAUCUAUCAGUCAUUUUGCCUCCUGGACAGUUGGCUGACGAAGUGUUUGAUAAACUAGCUCAGAUACAUGCUGCAAAAGGUCAUUCUCCUCCUGAUUAUGUCUCUACUUGUAAACGCAGUUGGUGGGUUGCAAAACAAGUGCUAAAAUAGUGCAGUGAUGUGGUGGGAGGAAACCAUAAUGGGCAAUUGAUAUAAAGUGUUGGAAUCUUCUUGAGGGUGACAUUCUCCAGCGGCAGGUGAAGUUGAAUAAAGCAAUUUUCCAUCAUU